This 474-nucleotide ribosomal RNA is filed under the name uncultured eukaryote. Its description in RNAcentral is "bacterial SSU rRNA". It matches the Rfam family "Eukaryotic small subunit ribosomal RNA", at positions 57 to 549 of the family's 1831-position model. The record is from RNAcentral.
GUCCAGGUUAUCCCUUUGGGGAAACUGCGGAUGGCUCAUUAACUCGGUUGGAAUCUAGAUGAACACCCCCAGUACGUGGAUAACCACGGAUUAUCCGCGGCUAAUACGUGCUCUACUGUGCCGUCUCCUGAUCGUACUGAAUACAUUAUUUCCAUGAUCUGCUUUGUUUGGGUGAUUCAUGAUGUCUAAGCGAAUCGUAUGACCUUGUGUCGACCAUGAUUCCUUCUACUUUCCGCCCUAUCAACUUUGGAUUCUAGUGUAGUGGACUACCAUGAUUGUGACGGGUGACGGGGACUUAUGGUUCGAUUCCGGAGAGGGAGCCUGAGAUAUGGCUACUACAUCCAAGGAAGGCAACAGGCCCGCAAAUUACCCUAAUGGUCACAGACCGAGGUAAUGACAAUAGAUAUCGAUGUUGCUGAUUCGUCAUUGACAAUCGGAAUGAACUGAAGAUAAAUCUCUCUAUGAGUACCAAUU